RNAcentral lists this ribosomal RNA (495 nucleotides) under uncultured bacterium. RNAcentral's name for it is "partial 16S ribosomal RNA". It matches the Rfam family "Bacterial small subunit ribosomal RNA", at positions 29 to 507 of the family's 1533-position model. The record is from RNAcentral.
AUGAACGCUGGCGGCGUGCCUAAUACAUGCAAGUCGAGCGAACGGACGAGAAGCUUGCUUCUCUGAUGUUAGCGGCGGACGGGUGAGUAACACGUGGAUAACCUACCUAUAAGACUGGGAUAACUUCGGGAACCGGAGCUAAUACCGGAUAAUAUUUUGAACCGCAUGGUUCAAAAGUGAAAGACGGUCUUGCUGUCACUUAUAGAUGGAUCCGCGCUGCAUUAGCUAGUUGGUAAGGUAACGGCUUACCAAGGCAACGAUGCAUAGCCGACCUGAGAGGGUGAUCGGCCACACUGGAACUGAGACACGGUCCAGACUCCUACGGGAGGCAGCAGUAGGGAAUCUUCCGCAAUGGGCGAAAGCCUGACGGAGCAACGCCGCGUGAGUGAUGAAGGUCUUCGGAUCGUAAAACUCUGUUAUUAGGGAAGAACAUAUGUGUAAGUAACUGUGCACAUCUUGACGGUACCUAAUCAGAAAGCCACGGCUAACUACGUG